This 69-nucleotide transfer RNA is filed under the name Ictidomys tridecemlineatus (thirteen-lined ground squirrel). RNAcentral's name for it is "Spermophilus tridecemlineatus (thirteen-lined ground squirrel) tRNA". It matches the Rfam family "tRNA". Rfam says of the family: Transfer RNA (tRNA) molecules are approximately 80 nucleotides in length. Their secondary structure includes four short double-helical elements and three loops (D, anti-codon, and T loops). The record is from Rfam by way of RNAcentral. Lineage: Eukaryota; Metazoa; Chordata; Mammalia; Rodentia; Sciuridae.
GGGAUUGUGGCUUAGUGGUAGAGCACCUGUCUAGCAUGUAUGAGGCACUGGGUUUGAUUCUCAGCACCA